This 424-nucleotide ribosomal RNA is filed under the name uncultured bacterium. RNAcentral describes it as "partial 16S ribosomal RNA". It matches the Rfam family "Bacterial small subunit ribosomal RNA", at positions 360 to 776 of the family's 1533-position model. The record is from RNAcentral.
AAUUUUGGACUAUGGGCGAAAGCCUGCUCUAGCCAAGCCGCGCGUGUGAAGAAGGUCUUCGGAUUGUAAAGCACGUUAAGUUGGGUGGAAGGGCAGUAAGUUCAUAGCUUGCUGUAUUGACGCUACCGACAGAAUAAGCACCGGCUAACUUCGUGCCAGCAGCCGCGGUAAUACGAAGGGUGCAAUCGUUAAUCGGAAUCACUGGGCGUAAAGCGAGCGUAGGUGGUUCGUUAAGUUGGAUGUGAAAGCCCAGGGCACAACCUGGGAACUGCAUCCAAAACUGGCGAGCUAGAGUACGGUAGAGGGUGGUGGAAUUUCCUGUGUAGCGGUGAAAUGCGUAGAUAUAGGAAGGAACACCAGUGGCGAAGGCGACCACCUGGACUGAUACUGACACUGAGGUGCGAAAGCGUGGGGAGCAAACAGG